Molecule: long non-coding RNA, 1156 nt
Organism: Drosophila mauritiana
Lineage: Eukaryota; Metazoa; Arthropoda; Insecta; Diptera; Drosophilidae
Exons: 2
Source: RefSeq, a predicted model, not a curated record
GGAACAGAUUGGCCACAUACGGCUGCAGUUCCGUCUCAAUGGCCUGCAAAGCGGAGGAGUAGGAUCAGAUCUCGCUGCUUGCAGUCGCUCUCGUUGUAGUGGAAUAUCACCGUGCACGUCUGGUAGAUGACCUGGUUGCGCUGGAUGGUGCCUGAACAAGAUGCCGAAUUGGUGAUAGGUUCUAGGUGGCGGAUUCGGAGGACUGGGGCGCUGAGGCACUGGGGCGGGUAACUCACCCGAUAGCGUGUGCGAGAAGAGCAGCAUGAACACAACCGGUUCGAUGUAAAACAUAUGAAACACCUUUUCCCAUUGCAGAUUUCGGAGCUUUUCCAGUGUAAACGCAUUGGACGCCUUCUCGACCAUGGCUAUUUUGUUGGUGGACAAGUUCUUGAAUAUCUAGCUUCAAAUUGCCGAACUUGUUGGCUUCUCCUCCUCCUCCUUCUCCUCCUCCUCACUGGCUCAUUGCAACACCUGUCACGUAACCGUAGUCGGAACACCCCGUAGAGAAAACACCCUGGCGCCCAGCUCUGCCGAUCAGAUUUAUGGGUUACUAAUGCCAGAUUCGAUUAUAAUUCAAGCGUUUGAUUGCCACAGCAGUCGGAAACACGAAACCGAAAUCCACUUCCAAUCCGACGGCGACGAUACAAAUAGAGUUUCGUUCUCGAAAUGAGCGGCUACCGCGAAAUCCGUGCGCUUUUAUAGCGGGUCUCUCGGCGGCGGAGGAAGCGGCAACACAUGAGCACACACCAGGUAAACAACAGUCGCGCUGGCGAACAGUUGUUCAUCUAGAGCCGCAUCAGUUGGAUUCACGUGAAAUUGCAUUCCCCGGCGGAAAAUAUGGGCAAAUAUGCCGCACUCCCGUUUGUCCAGAUUCGAUUCCAAGCCCAUAGAACUGCAUUUCGACGCCGGACCGGCUAAAUUGGAUCCGGAGCCCUACCUUACCAGCUCAACUCACCGAAAGUUGGGUAGGGGAAACGUGAGAAGCGUAGUUUGGAUGCUUCGUUUGAUUUCAUCUUUGAAUUGUGCAAAUGAGUAGCACGAGCCAGAGCCAUGGGCGUCCGAAAAGUGGUUAGUGGUUCCACCGACCGAUGGCAAAAAUAACCGAUGGGAAUAACGGAUGAAGUAAAUGUGUAUGUGCGCACUUUUUGUACCACAA